RNAcentral lists this ribosomal RNA (495 nucleotides) under uncultured bacterium. RNAcentral describes it as "partial 16S ribosomal RNA". It matches the Rfam family "Bacterial small subunit ribosomal RNA", at positions 28 to 507 of the family's 1533-position model. The record is from RNAcentral.
GACGAACGCUGGCGGCGUGCCUAAUACAUGCAAGUAGAACGCUGAAGGAGGAGCUUGCUCUUCUGGAUGAGUUGCGAACGGGUGAGUAACGCGUAGGUAACCUGCCUGGUAGCGGGGGAUAACUAUUGGAAACGAUAGCUAAUACCGCAUAACAGUAGAUGUUGCAUGACAUUUACUUAAAAGGUGCAAUUGCAUCACUACCAGAUGGACCUGCGUUGUAUUAACUAGUUGGUGGGGUAACGGCUCACCAAGGCGACGAUACAUAGCCGACCUGAGAGGGUGAUCGGCCACACUGGGACUGAGACACGGCCCAGACUCCUACGGGAGGCAGCAGUAGGGAAUCUUCGGCAAUGGACGGAAGUCUGACCGAGCAACGCCGCGUGAGUGAAGAAGGUUUUCGGAUCGUAAAGCUCUGUUGUAAGAGAAGAACGAGUGUGAGAGUGGAAAGUUCACACUGUGACGGUAUCUUACCAGAAAGGGACGGCUAACUACGUG